RNAcentral lists this transfer RNA (56 nucleotides) under Sarcoptes scabiei. RNAcentral describes it as "tRNA-Asp". Lineage: Eukaryota; Metazoa; Arthropoda; Arachnida; Sarcoptiformes; Sarcoptidae. The record is from RNAcentral.
UAAGUUAUAGUUUAUAAUAAAACAUAGUUUUGUCAUAACUAAAAAAAAUAACUUAA